This is a non-coding RNA of Kogia breviceps (pygmy sperm whale), 647 nucleotides long. The record is from RefSeq and is a predicted model, not a curated record. Lineage: Eukaryota; Metazoa; Chordata; Mammalia; Artiodactyla; Physeteridae.
AGGCUUUGAGCUGGGCGAGUGAGACGGGGCCCUUUGUUUGAAACUGAUUCAUGCAGCUGUCAGACCUGCAGGAGCCCGAGUGUGAUCGCCUCUGCCCCGAGGAACUUUGAAUCCAGUAGGGGAUGUGAGCAAAAGCGCGCGAGGAGGAGUUCCUGCUGCACUUGUCCGCUACCUAGCGGACUGGCAGGGCAGCUAAGCAGCUGGUGCUAAGAAGCUAGAGAGGAUUCCAAACUGGUGCGUGCCGGCCCCGGUGUUCUCCUGGUAGACAAGCUCCCAGAAACGGCUGCUGCAGUGUCUGUGACCCCAGUGUGAGUUCUGGUUGCCGCCUGCCUUUCUGGAAGGCUCUCCAAGAUCAGCAGGUGGGUCUGACUCGGGCUGCUUUCAAAUUACUGCUGCCUCCCUGGGUCCCGGAGUGUGAGGUUCUGUGUGCGUCCUUUACAGUCGGCAUCCACGUCCCACAGCCCCCUGGCUCUCCUGAAAGCCAGCCGUGCUGGCCUUCAAAGCCAAACAUCCUGGGGCUUGCCGUCCUGGUGCAGGACUCCCAGGGUGGGAAGCCUGACGCAGGGCCCGGACCCCUCACUUCUUGGGGAGAACCUCGGCAACGAUAAGCAUCCUUCCUUUUGUGGGCUGCCCGCCCCGGGGUGUGG